GGGGAUGUAUUUGGCUUUCGACAGUGUUUUAGAAGUAUGUGUAGCGAGUAGUGGAUGGCUGCUUUGGCCACUAUAAAAAAGCAGAAUUAAAAAUAAACGCUGAUAAUAAUCAAGAAUUAGCAUACGCUGCCUAAGAAUAGGCUGCCGUCUUUUUAAGGAGGUCUACGGCUUUAAAUAAGGCGUCAAAUUUGUAGGAAACAAAGCUAUCUUUGCUAUGAAGAUAGUGGGUAAAUAAUAGCUACUUUAUGUUUAUGUUUGUUUGUUAAUGUAUGCGUAAGGGAAAUUUAAUAACAAACUGCACUCGGAGAAAUAUAUAUGGAAAGAAUACUGGACAGGGGUUCGACUCCCCUCAUCUCCACCA
This 361-nucleotide transfer-messenger RNA is filed under the name Clostridia. RNAcentral describes it as "UMGS1901 sp900556135 Standard tmRNA". It matches the Rfam family "transfer-messenger RNA". Rfam says of the family: Bacterial tmRNA, also known as 10Sa RNA or SsrA, is named for its dual tRNA and mRNA-like properties. Its role is to liberate the mRNA from a stalled ribosome. Lineage: Bacteria; Bacillati; Bacillota. The record is from RNAcentral. RNAcentral also lists the same sequence under 1 other name.